This 77-nucleotide transfer RNA is filed under the name Rhodocyclaceae bacterium. RNAcentral describes it as "tRNA-Met". It matches the Rfam family "tRNA". From Rfam's summary of the family: Transfer RNA (tRNA) molecules are approximately 80 nucleotides in length. Their secondary structure includes four short double-helical elements and three loops (D, anti-codon, and T loops). The record is from RNAcentral. Lineage: Bacteria; Pseudomonadati; Pseudomonadota; Betaproteobacteria; Rhodocyclales; Rhodocyclaceae.
CGCGGGAUAGCGCAGUCUGGUAGCGCGUCGGGCUCAUAACCCGAAGGUCAUUGGUUCGAAUCCUUUUCCCGCAACCA